Molecule: ribosomal RNA, 466 nt
Filed under: uncultured bacterium
Lineage: Bacteria
Description: partial 16S ribosomal RNA
Rfam family: Bacterial small subunit ribosomal RNA
Source: RNAcentral
CGAACGCUGGCGGCGUGCUUAACACAUGCAAGUCGAACGGAAAGGCCCUGCUUUUGUGGGGUGCUCGAGUGGCGAACGGGUGAGUAACACGUGAGUAACCUGCCCUUGACUUUGGGAUAACUUCAGGAAACUGGGGCUAAUACCGGAUAGAAGCUCCUGCUGCAUGGUGGGGGUUGGAAAGUUUCGGCGGUUGGGGAUGGACUCGCGGCUUAUCAGCUUGUUGGUGGGGUAGUGGCUUACCAAGGCUUUGACGGGUAGCCGGCCUGAGAGGGUGACCGGCCACAUUGGGACUGAGAUACGGCCCAGACUCCUACGGGAGGCAGCAGUGGGGAAUAUUGCACAAUGGGCGGAAGCCUGAUGCAGCAACGCCGCGUGCGGGAUGACGGCCUUCGGGUUGUAAACCGCUUUCGCCUGUGACGAAGCGUGAGUGACGGUAAUGGGUAAAGAAGCACCGGCUAACUACGUG